This 532-nucleotide long non-coding RNA is filed under the name Mus musculus (house mouse). RNAcentral's name for it is "long non-coding RNA chr18:25391800-25392332". Lineage: Eukaryota; Metazoa; Chordata; Mammalia; Rodentia; Muridae. The record is from RNAcentral.
CUUUAAAACUACAAAAUGUAAAAGCUCUUUCCUUUCUCUGCUGCAUCUUCAGCCACAGUAUGCUCAGGCUUCAGAAGAGGCUUGCUUCUACUGUCCUCUGCUGUAGUAAAAAAGAAGCCUGUGACUGUCCAUCCUGGGGACUCUACGCUGAAAAAACACCUUAGCUCGACAGAAGGACAGGCAUAUGGGAAGCAGAAAAGUACUACCAGUGCUUGAAUGCCAGAGAAGGUAGCCUAGGUGAGAAGAAUGUGAAUCCUGUGCUGGCCUCUCAGAAGAUACAGUGAAUCUAAGACGGACUGCUAUGGGUAUCACAGCCUGUACCUGAAGGUCAAAGGAUCUGCAUUCAAAAACAAGUGGAUUCUAAUGGAGCACAUUCAUAAGCUGCAGGUAGACAAGGCCAGCAAGAAGCUUCUGGCUAACCAGGCUGAGGUCAAGAACCAAGAAAACACAAAUGAGCUAAGAGGAGUGUCUCCAGGCCAAGAAGGAGGGGAUCUUCAAGACUCUGUCCAAGGAAGAAGAGACCAAGAAAUAA